GCGGAAUGCUUUACACAUGCAAGUCGAGCGGCAGCGCGGGGCAACCUGGCGGCGAGCGGCGAACGGGUGAGUAAUGCAUCGGAACAUGUCCAUGGAUGGGGGAUAGCCCGGCGAAAGCCGGAUUAAUACCGCAUGAGCCCGAGAGGGGAAAGUGGGGGACCGCAAGGCCUCACGUCGAUGGGUUGGCCGAUGCCCGAUUAGCUAGUUGGUGAGGUAAAGGCUUACCAAGGCGAUGAUCGGUAGCUGGUCUGAGAGGAUGAUCAGCCACACUGGGACUGAGACACGGCCCAGACUCCUACGGGAGGCAGCAGUGGGGAAUUUUGGACAAUGGGGGCAACCCUGAUCCAGCCAUUCCGCGUGAGUGAAGAAGGCCUUCGGGUUGUAAAGCUCUUUUGUCCGGAGCGAAACGGUUACGGUGAAUAUCCGUGACUACUGACGGUACCGGAAGAAUAAGCACCGGCUAACUACGUGCCA
This 474-nucleotide ribosomal RNA is filed under the name uncultured Pseudomonadota bacterium. Its description in RNAcentral is "bacterial SSU rRNA". It matches the Rfam family "Bacterial small subunit ribosomal RNA", at positions 39 to 510 of the family's 1533-position model. The record is from RNAcentral. Lineage: Bacteria; Pseudomonadati; Pseudomonadota.